AGGGGUUCCAGAACCAGUCCCUCACAAACACCAAGGAAUGACUGUAUACUCCUUCAGGUACCAUGAAAAGACACAGCCAUUAACAUAUGUACUCAACUAAACACAGAGCAUUGACUUGAAACCGUACAAGAUCAGAAUGAAGACAAUACUAUAAGGAACUACAGGGAGAAACUAAUAUUGUCAGGGUGGAGAGGAUAAUGGAGAAAACAAAGAAGGAGGCAUUAUACCUAGGACUCCAGGGUGAGAAGGAAACGGGCAAAGAAGCACAUGAACAUGAAACUGCAGGGUCAUCGGUAUUUAUUUGAGGAACUAAAGUCAUGAUCUUCAACAUCCAUAACUUUCUGACACCAAAUAAGCCUCCUGAUGGGGCCACAACAUGUACCAAAAAGGAAGGACAGCAUGCUCAGAGGAAUUUAGUUUUGGAAAACUGCUAUAGUCCUAUACAUUUAAUAGCUGUCUUUAAGCAUGAUUAAAAUAAAGCACCAUAACCAA
Long non-coding RNA from Symphalangus syndactylus (siamang), 492 nucleotides. RefSeq lists it as uncharacterized. The record is from RefSeq and is a predicted model, not a curated record. Lineage: Eukaryota; Metazoa; Chordata; Mammalia; Primates; Hylobatidae.